Molecule: ribosomal RNA, 465 nt
Filed under: uncultured bacterium
Lineage: Bacteria
Description: partial 16S ribosomal RNA
Rfam family: Bacterial small subunit ribosomal RNA
Source: RNAcentral
CCUACGGGAGGCAGCAGUAGGGAAUCUUCCACAAUGGGCGAAAGCCUGAUGGAGCAACGCCGCGUGGGUGAAGAAGGUCUUCGGAUCGUAAAACCCUGUUGUUAGAGAAGAAAGUGCGUGAGAGUAACUGUUCACGUUUCGACGGUAUCUAACCCGAAAGCCACGGCUAACUACGUGCCAGCAGCGGCGGUAAUACGUAGGUGGCAAGCGUUAUCCGGAUUUAUUGGGCGUAAAGGGAACGCAGGCGGUCUUUUAAGUCUGAUGUGAAAGCCUUCGGCUUAACCGGAGUAGUGCAUUGGAAACUGGGAGACUGGAGUGCAGAAGAGGAGAGUGGAACUCCAUGUGUAGCGGUGAAAUGCGUAGAUAUAUGGAAGAACACCAGUGGCGAAAGCGGCUCUCUGGUCUGUAACUGACGCUGAGGUUCGAAAGCGUGGGUAGCAAACAGGAUUAGAUACCCGUGUAGUC